This 236-nucleotide unclassified non-coding RNA is filed under the name Hevea brasiliensis (rubber tree). The record is from RNAcentral. Lineage: Eukaryota; Viridiplantae; Streptophyta; Magnoliopsida; Malpighiales; Euphorbiaceae.
AGUCAAUCUCUCAUUGAUUCCUACCUCCGAUGAAUAUCUGAGCCCAGCUAACAAUUUCACUUCUCCUCUCCCUUUCGGUGUUUCGCCCUUUUCUCCUUUUGGUGCUUGAUUGUUUUCUCCAUGGAUGAAACCUACACAAAUCUUCCUACUAGCCAUUUGCUUGGCUCAGUCCCUGCGGUAAUCAAUGAAGAGACUGAGAAAAGAGGCACAGACAAUGAAACACCAGAAGCAAGUAU